UACAGGGCCUGAGCGCCGUCGCCGAACACCGUCCGGAGCGAAGCUGGCGGCCGCACAGCUGCGACAGGGCGCAAUCGCCGGCAGCCUGCGGCCUCCGACCCGGCUGGCUGCUGGCGGAGCCACGCCUCCUCGGCGAGGCCUUGCCCACCGUGCUGACCGGCCCGGAGCGGAUCGAGUCGGGCUGGUGGGAUGGCGAAGACAUCCGCCGCGACUAUUACCUGGUGGAAACCCGCAGCGGACAACGUGCCUGGGUCUAUCGCGAGGUCGGCAGCGAAGGGCCGCUGUGGCUGCAUGGCUGGUUCGCAUGAGCGCCUACGCCGAACUGCAUUGCCUGUCCAACUUCAGUUUCCAGCGCGGCGCCUCCAGCGCCGCGGAACUCUUCGCCCGUGCAGCGCGCCUGGGCUAUCGGGCCCUGGCGAUCACCGACGAAUGCAGCCUGGCCGGUAUCGUGCGGGCCUGGCAGGCGGCGCGGGAGCAUCAGGUACAACUGAUCGUCGGCAGCGAAAUCCGCCUCGAACAGGGGCCCAAGCUGGUCCUCCUGGCGCAGGACCUGGAGGGCUACCAGAACCUCUGACGCCUCAUCACCCGCGGCCGGCGACAAGCCGACAAGGGCCACUACCGGCUGCUGCGCGAAGACCUGCAACAGCCGCUCGCCGGCCUGUUGGCGAUCUGGUUGCCGAACGACCAUGGGGACGAGCAGGCUGCCUGGCUCCGCGAACGCUUCCCCCAGCGCCUUUGGCUGGGCGUCGAGUUGCAUCGCGGCGCCGAUGACGAUGCCCGCCUGGACAAACUGCUCGCCCUCGCCUCGCAUCUCCGGCUACCGCCCGUGGCCUGCGGCGACGUCCACAUGCACGCCCGCGGCAGGCGAGCCCUGCAGGACUGCAUGACAGCGAUCCGCAACCAUCUGCCGGUCAGCGAGGCCGGCGCCUAUCUCUUCCCCAACGGGGAACGCCACCUGCGUACCCUGGAGGCCCUGCUGGGGAUCUACCCGCAAGCCCUGCUGGCGGAAACCCUGAAGAUCGCCGAACGCUGCCGGUUCGAUCUGGAACAGCUGAAAUACCAGUAUCCACGCGAAUUGGUACCGGCCGGACACGACCCGGCGUCAUGGCUCCGCCAUCUCACCGAACAGGGCAUCGCCAGGCGCUGGCCGAACGGCGCGAGCGCCAAGGUCCGCAAGCAGAUCGAGAGAGAACUCGAGCUGAUCGCCGAACUGGGCUAUGAAAGCUAUUUCCUCACCGUGCAGGACAUCGUCGCCUUCGCCCGGGGCCGGGAAAUCCUUUGCCAGGGCCGCGGCUCGGCGGCCAAUUCGGCAGUGUGCUUCGCCCUCGGCAUCACCGAGUUGGACCCGGACCGGACCAACCUGCUGUUCGAGCGCUUCCUUUCCCGCGAGCGCAACGAACCACCGGACAUCGACGUGGAUUUCGAACACGAGCGCCGCGAGGAGGUCAUCCAGUACGUUUUCACACGCUACGGACGCCAGCGCGCGGCGCUGACCGCGGUGGUCAGCACCUACCACGGCGCCGGCGCGGUGCGCGACGUAGCCAAGGCCCUGGGUCUGCCGCCCGAGCAGGUCGACGUCCUGGCCAACUGCUGCGGCCGCUGGAGCGACCAGGCCCCCAGCGCCGAACGCCUGGAAGAGGCCGGCUUCGAUCCGCAGAGUCCGAUCCUGCGCCGGGUGCUGGCCCUGACCGACGAGUUGAUCGGUUUUCCGCGCCACCUCUCGCAGCACCCCGGCGGCUUCGUCAUCUCCGAACAGCCAUUGGACACCCUGGUCCCGGUGGAGAAUGCCAGCAUGGCCGAGCGCACGGUGAUCCAGUGGGACAAGGACGAUCUCGACGCGGUCGGCCUGCUCAAGGUCGACGUCCUCGCCCUGGGCAUGCUCAGCGCCCUGCGCCGCAGCUUCGACCUGAUCCACGCGCUGCGCGGCGGCAAGCGGUUGAGCAUCGCCAGUAUCCCGAGCGAAGACCCGGCCACCUACGAAAUGAUCAGCCGCGCCGAUACCAUCGGUGUGUUCCAGAUCGAAUCGCGCGCACAGAUGGCCAUGCUGCCACGCCUGCGCCCGCAGAAGUUCUACGACCUGGUGAUCCAGGUCGCCAUCGUCCGGCCGGGGCCGAUCCAGGGCGACAUGGUGCAUCCUUACCUGCGCCGGCGAAACGGUGAAGAGCCGGUGGCCUAUCCAUCGGCCGAACUGGAGAAGGUCUUCGAACGUACCCUGGGCGUCCCGUUGUUCCAGGAACAGGUCAUGGAACUGGCGAUCGUCGCCGCCGACUACACGCCGGGCGAGGCGGACGAACUGCGUCGUUCGAUGGCCGCCUGGAAGCGUCAUGGCGGCCUGGAACACCACCGCGAGCGGCUGACCCGGGGCAUGCUCGCCAAGGGCUACGAGGCCGACUUCGCAGCGCGCAUCUUCGAGCAGAUCAAAGGCUUCGGCAGCUACGGUUUCCCUGAAUCCCACGCCGCCAGCUUCGCCCUGCUCACCUACGCCAGCAGUUGGCUGAAACGUCACGAGCCGGCGGCCUUCGCCUGCGCCUUGAUCAACAGUUGGCCGAUGGGCUUCUACAGCCCCGACCAGUUGCUCCAGGACGCCCGCCGCCACGCCCUGCAGACACGCCCGGUGGAUGUCCGCCACAGCGGUUGGGAUUGCAGCCUGGAGCCGUUCGGCCAGGCGCAACCGGCCAUACGCCUCGGCCUGCGGAUGAUCCGAGGCUUUCGCGAGGAGGAUGCCAGGCGUAUCGAGCAGGUCCGGGAGGCCCAGCCGUUCCUCGACGUGCACGAUCUCGGCCGACGCGCCAGGCUCGACGCCCGGGCCCUGGAGUUGCUGGCCGAUGCCGGCGCCCUGCGCGGUCUCGCCGGACACCGGCACAAGGCGCGCUGGGCCGUCGCCAGCGUCGAGCCGCAAUUGCCACUGUUCGCCGAAGGGACCGUCAUCGAAGAAACCACGGUCAGCCUGCCGCUGCCUUCGCGCGGCGAGGAACUGCUGAGCGAUUACGCUCUCCUCGGCACCACCCUCGGCCCGCAUCCGCUGAAACUUUUGCGUGGACAGCUCAAGGCCCGCCGCUGCCGCGACUCCCGCGAACUGGCGAAACUGGGACAUGGGCGACCGAUACGGGUCGCCGGCCUGGUGGUCGGCCGGCAGCGCCCACAGACCGCCAGCGGCAUCACCUUCAUCACCCUGGAGGACGAGUUCGGCAUGCUCAACGUGGUGGUCCGGCACGACCUCGCCGAACGGCAGAGGCGGCCAUUCCUCGAGUCCCGGCUGCUGCAGGUGGAGGGCAUCCUGGAGUCCUCCGGCGAGGUGCGCCACGUCAUCGCCGGGCGCCUGCAUGACCUGAGUCCUCUACUCACCGGCCUGGACGUCCGCAGCCGGGAUUUCCAUUGAGACAAAGAAAAAGGCAGCUCGAGAGACGAGCUGCCUUGGGAUGGCCAACAGGGAUGGCCACGAAGGGGGGAGCGCUCAAGAUACUGUUUAUUCAUACAGUAAAUCAAGCGAUUCCCUUCAUCGGAAGCCACCUUUCGUCUUUCUCCUCGAAGCGAGGCUCUAACUCGCGGAUCGGGAUCGGUACGGCGAACGCAAGAGCGCCAGCGCCAUGCGGAUCCCCCCGGACUCUCGCUACGCUAGACGCGAAAGAGGACAUGCCAGGAGGGUUUCGGCAAGGUGAACAGGAAGCACGCCCCCACGCCGAAAGACCAAGGGUUCCUGCGCAACGUUAAUCGACGCAGGGUUAGUCGGUUCCUAAGGCGAGGCUGAAAAGCGUAGUCGAUGGGAAACAGGUUAAUAUUCCUGUACUUCUGGUUACUGCGAUGGAGGGACGGAGAAGGCUAGGCCAGCUUGGCGUUGGUUGUCCAAGUUUAAGGUGGUAGGCUGAAAUCUUAGGUAAAUCCGGGGUUUCAAGGCCGAGAGCUGAUGACGAGUCGUCUUUUAGAUGACGAAGUGGUUGAUGCCAUGCUUCCAAGAAAAGCUUCUAAGCUUCAGGUAACCAGGAACCGUACCCCAAACCGACACAGGUGGUCGGGUAGAGAAUACCAAGGCGCUUGAGAGAACUCGGGUGAAGGAACUAGGCAAAAUGGCACCGUAACUUCGGGAGAAGGUGCGCCGGCUAGGGUGAAGGAUUUACUCCGUAAGCUCUGGCUGGUCGAAGAUACCAGGCCGCUGCGACUGUUUAUUAAAAACACAGCACUCUGCAAACACGAAAGUGGACGUAUAGGGUGUGACGCCUGCCCGGUGCCGGAAGGUUAAUUGAUGGGGUUAGCGCAAGCGAAGCUCUUGAUCGAAGCCCCGGUAAACGGCGGCCGUAACUAUAACGGUCCUAAGGUAGCGAAAUUCCUUGUCGGGUAAGUUCCGACCUGCACGAAUGGCGUAACGAUGGCGGCGCUGUCUCCACCCGAGACUCAGUGAAAUUGAAAUCGCUGUGAAGAUGCAGUGUAUCCGCGGCUAGACGGAAAGACCCCGUGAACCUUUACUGUAGCUUUGCACUGGACUUUGAGCCUGCUUGUGUAGGAUAGGUGGGAGGCUUUGAAGCGUGGACGCCAGUUCGCGUGGAGCCAUCCUUGAAAUACCACCCUGGCAUGCUUGAGGUUCUAACUCUGGUCCGUGAUCCGGAUCGAGGACAGUGUAUGGUGGGCAGUUUGACUGGGGCGGUCUCCUCCUAAAGAGUAACGGAGGAGUACGAAGGUGCGCUCAGACCGGUCGGAAAUCGGUCGCAGAGUAUAAAGGCAAAAGCGCGCUUGACUGCGAGACAGACACGUCGAGCAGGUACGAAAGUAGGUCUUAGUGAUCCGGUGGUUCUGUAUGGAAGGGCCAUCGCUCAACGGAUAAAAGGUACUCCGGGGAUAACAGGCUGAUACCGCCCAAGAGUUCAUAUCGACGGCGGUGUUUGGCACCUCGAUGUCGGCUCAUCACAUCCUGGGGCUGAAGCCGGUCCCAAGGGUAUGGCUGUUCGCCAUUUAAAGUGGUACGCGAGCUGGGUUUAGAACGUCGUGAGACAGUUCGGUCCCUAUCUGCCGUGGACGUUUGAGAUUUGAGAGGGGCUGCUCCUAGUACGAGAGGACCGGAGUGGACGAACCUCUGGUGUUCCGGUUGUCACGCCAGUGGCAUUGCCGGGUAGCUAUGUUCGGAAAAGAUAACCGCUGAAAGCAUCUAAGCGGGAAACUUGCCUCAAGAUGAGAUCUCACUGGGAACUUGAUUCCCCUGAAGGGCCGUCGAAGACUACGACGUUGAUAGGCUGGGUGUGUAAGCGUUGUGAGGCGUUGAGCUAACCAGUACUAAUUGCCCGUGAGGCUUGACCAU
This 5287-nucleotide ribosomal RNA is filed under the name Pseudomonas aeruginosa. RNAcentral describes it as "23S ribosomal RNA". The stretch from base 3549 to 5287 matches the Rfam family "Bacterial large subunit ribosomal RNA". Lineage: Bacteria; Pseudomonadati; Pseudomonadota; Gammaproteobacteria; Pseudomonadales; Pseudomonadaceae. The record is from RNAcentral.